GCCUCGGUAGCGCAGUAGGCAGCGCGUCAGUCUCAUAAUCUGAAGGCCGUGAGUUCGAGCCUCACCGGGGCA
RNAcentral lists this transfer RNA (72 nucleotides) under Caligus rogercresseyi. It matches the Rfam family "tRNA". Rfam says of the family: Transfer RNA (tRNA) molecules are approximately 80 nucleotides in length. Their secondary structure includes four short double-helical elements and three loops (D, anti-codon, and T loops). Lineage: Eukaryota; Metazoa; Arthropoda; Copepoda; Siphonostomatoida; Caligidae. The record is from Rfam by way of RNAcentral.